Molecule: ribosomal RNA, 253 nt
Filed under: uncultured bacterium
Lineage: Bacteria
Description: partial 16S ribosomal RNA
Rfam family: Bacterial small subunit ribosomal RNA
Source: RNAcentral
GACGUAGGGGGCCAGCGUUGCUCGGAAUUACUGGGUGUAAAGGGUUCGUAGGCGGUGUGGCAAGUCGGGAGUGAAAUCUCUGGGCUCAACCCAGAGUCUGCUUCCGAAACUGCUGUGCUUGAGUGUGGGAGAGGCGCGUGGAAUUGCAGGUGUAGCGGUGAAAUGCGUAGAUAUCUGCAGGAACACCCGUGGCGAAAGCGGCGCGCUGGACCACUACUGACGCUGAGGAACGAAAGCGUGGGGAGCAAACAGG